UAAAAGGUCGGGAUAGCUCAGU
RNAcentral lists this transfer RNA (22 nucleotides) under Moraea fragrans. RNAcentral describes it as "partial tRNA-Phe". RNAcentral also lists the same sequence under 1 other name. Lineage: Eukaryota; Viridiplantae; Streptophyta; Magnoliopsida; Asparagales; Iridaceae. The record is from RNAcentral.